This is a non-coding RNA of Stegodyphus mimosarum, 73 nucleotides long. The record is from Rfam. NCBI's taxonomy places the organism in Eukaryota, Metazoa, Arthropoda, Arachnida, Araneae, Eresidae.
GCCUUCGUGGUGUAGUUGUCAUCACGCUCGGCGUGUAUUCGAGAGGUCCGUGGUUCGAUUCCCGGCGAGGGCA